This 417-nucleotide long non-coding RNA is filed under the name Mustela putorius furo (domestic ferret). Its description in RNAcentral is "lncRNA (ENSMPUG00000028156.1)". The record is from RNAcentral. Lineage: Eukaryota; Metazoa; Chordata; Mammalia; Carnivora; Mustelidae.
CAAUUUUUGAUUUGAAGCUUAUAACCCAUGGAGUUAACUUAUAUUUUAUAAUUACGUGCAGCUGCUCAAGGGAGUUCUCAGCACCAGUCACAGUGCAAGCCCCCUCUCUGAGCAUGAUGCCAAGGCAGGAGGAGACCCCAGGAGGAGAGGCUGCGCUCUGGUCACUCUGCCUGCAAGAUGCCUCCUGUACUCAACUGGUUUUCCGACUUGCUCUUUUUCUACCUCCAUUUUGAGCUUCAAAAGAUUCUGUAAGAUUCUAGCCUUAUACUGGUUGUUUUUCUGCAGGUAAAUAAAAUAUGGCAUAGCGGGACCUAUCACUUACACUAAAGGAAUAGGAUGUGUAUUCUGCUGCACUUCUCGUUUUCUUUUCAAUUUUUAAAUUUUAUUUUUAAAAAAAAAUUUUUCAUUUACUCAUUU